Molecule: small nuclear RNA, 94 nt
Filed under: Anisakis simplex (herring worm)
Lineage: Eukaryota; Metazoa; Nematoda; Chromadorea; Rhabditida; Anisakidae
Description: U4 spliceosomal RNA
Rfam family: U4 spliceosomal RNA
About the family: U4 small nuclear RNA (U4 snRNA) is a component of the major U2-dependent spliceosome.
Source: Rfam by way of RNAcentral
ACGUGACCAAUGAGGCUUAGCCGAGGUGCGUUUAUUGCUGGUUGAAAACUUUCAUCCAAUUGCCCGCCGCGGCUCCUGAAACGUCUCUUGAUAU